UGGGGAAUAUUGCACAAUGGGCGCAAGCCUGAUGCAGCCAUGCCGCGUGUAUGAAGAAGGCCUUCGGGUUGUAAAGUACUUUCAGCAGUGAGGAAGGGGAUAUCGUUAAUAGCGGUAUUCUUUGACGUUAGCUGCAGAAGAAGCACCGGCUAACUCCGUGCCAGCAGCCGCGGUAAUACGGAGGGUGCGAGCGUUAAUCGGAAUUACUGGGCGUAAAGCGCAUGCAGGUGGUUUGUUAAGUCAGAUGUGAAAGCCCGGGGCUCAACCUCGGAAUUGCAUUUGAAACUGGCAGGCUAGAGUACUGUAGAGGGGGGUAGAAUUUCAGGUGUAGCGGUGAAAUGCGUAGAGAUCUGAAGGAAUACCGGUGGCGAAGGCGGCCCCCUGGACAGAUACUGACACUCAGAUGCGAAAGCGUGGGGAGCAAACA
RNAcentral lists this ribosomal RNA (427 nucleotides) under uncultured Vibrio sp. Its description in RNAcentral is "bacterial SSU rRNA". It matches the Rfam family "Bacterial small subunit ribosomal RNA", at positions 355 to 774 of the family's 1533-position model. The record is from RNAcentral. Lineage: Bacteria; Pseudomonadati; Pseudomonadota; Gammaproteobacteria; Vibrionales; Vibrionaceae.